Molecule: ribosomal RNA, 460 nt
Filed under: uncultured bacterium
Lineage: Bacteria
Description: partial 16S ribosomal RNA
Rfam family: Bacterial small subunit ribosomal RNA
Source: RNAcentral
CCUACGGGAGGCAGCAGUGGGGAAUAUUGGGCAAUGGACGCAAGUCUGAACCAGCCAUGCCGCGUGCAGGAAGACGGCUCUAUGAGUUGUAAACUGCUUUUGUACGAGGGUAAACGCAGAUACGCGUAUCUGUCUGAAAGUAUCGUACGAAUAAGGAUCGGCUAACUCCGUGCCAGCAGCCGCGGUAAUACGGAGGAUUCAAGCGUUAUCCGGAUUUAUUGGGUUUAAAGGGUGCGUAGGCGGUCGGAUAAGUUAGAGGUGAAAUCCCGAGGCUCAACUUCGGAAUUGCCGCUGAUACUGUUCGGCGAGAGAGUAGUUGCGGUAGGCGGAAUGUAUGGUGUAGCGGUGAAAUGCUUAGAGAUCAUACAGAACACCGAUUGCGAAGGCAGCUUACCAAGCUACUUCUGACGUUGAGGCACGAAAGCGUGGGGAGCAAACAGGAUUAGAUACCCCAGUAGUC